CGCGCCUAACACAUGCAAGUCGAACGGAGUCAAGAGGAGCUUGCUUUUCUUGACUUAGUGGCGAACGGGUGAGUAACGCGUGAGUAACCUGCCCUGGAGUGGGGGACAACAGUUGGAAACGACUGCUAAUACCGCAUAAGCCCACGGAUCCGCAUGGAUCUGCGGGAAAAGGAUUUAUUCGCUUCAGGAUGGACUCGCGUCCAAUUAGCUAGUUGGUGAGGUAACGGCCCACCAAGGCGACGAUUGGUAGCCGGACUGAGAGGUUGACCGGCCACAUUGGGACUGAGACACGGCCCAGACUCCUACGGGAGGCAGCAGUGGGGGAUAUUGCACAAUGGGGGAAACCCUGAUGCAGCGACGCCGCGUGGAGGAAGAAGGUUUUCGGAUUGUAAACUCCUGUCGUUAGGGACGACAAUGACGGUACCUAACAAGAAAGCACCGGCUAACUACGUGCCAGCAGCCGCGGUAAAACGUAGGGUGCAAGCGUUGUCCGGAAUUACUGGGUGUAAAGGGAGCGCAGGCGGACCGGCAAGUUGGAAGUGAAAACUAUGGGCUCAACCCAUAAAUUGCUUUCAAAACUGCUGGCCUUGAGUAGUGCAGAGGUAGGUGGAAUUCCCGGUGUAGCGGUGGAAUGCGUAGAUAUCGGGAGGAACACCAGUGGCGAAGGCGACCUACUGGGCACCAACUGACGCUGAGGCUCGAAAGCAUGGGUAGCAAACAGGAUUAGAUACCCUGGUAGUCCAUGCCGUAAACGAUGAUUACUAGGUGUUGGAGGAUUGACCCCUUCAGUGCCGCAGUUAACACAAUAAGUAAUCCACCUGGGGAGUACGACCGCAAGGUUGAAACUCAAAGGAAUUGACGGGGGCCCGCACAAGCAGUGGAGUAUGUGGUUUAAUUCGAAGCAACGCGAAGAACCUUACCAGGUCUUGACAUCCGAUGCAUAGUGCAGAGAUGCAUGAAGUCCUUCGGGACAUCGAGACAGGUGGUGCAUGGUUGUCGUCAGCUCGUGUCGUGAGAUGUUGGGUUAAGUCCCGCAACGAGCGCAACCCUUAUUGCCAGUUACUACGUAAGAGGACUCUGGCGAGACUGCCGUUGACAAAACGGAGGAAGGUGGGGAUGACGUCAAAUCAUCAUGCCCUUUAUGACCUGGGCUACACACGUACUACAAUGGCGUUUAACAAAGAGAAGCAAGACCGCGAGGUGGAGCAAAACUCAAAAACAACGUCUCAGUUCAGAUUGCAGGCUGCAACUCGCCUGCAUGAAGUCGGAAUUGCUAGUAAUCGCGGAUCAGCAUGCCGCG
Molecule: ribosomal RNA, 1300 nt
Filed under: uncultured bacterium
Lineage: Bacteria
Description: bacterial SSU rRNA
Rfam family: Bacterial small subunit ribosomal RNA
Source: RNAcentral